UACGUAGGGGGCAAGCGUUGUCCGGAAUCAUUGGGCGUAAAGAGCGUGUAGGCGGCCCGGUAAGUCCGCUGUGAAAGUCCAGGGCUCAACCCUGGGAUGCCGGUGGAUACUGUCGGGCUCGAGUCCGGAAGAGGAGUGUGGAAUUCCUGGUGUAGCGGUGAAAUGCGUAGAGAUCCGGAAGAACACCGGUGGCGAAGGCGGCCUGCUGGGCAGUGGCUGACGCUGAGGCGCGACAGCGUGGGGAGCAAACAGG
RNAcentral lists this ribosomal RNA (253 nucleotides) under uncultured bacterium. RNAcentral's name for it is "partial 16S ribosomal RNA". It matches the Rfam family "Bacterial small subunit ribosomal RNA", at positions 524 to 776 of the family's 1533-position model. The record is from RNAcentral.